This 253-nucleotide ribosomal RNA is filed under the name uncultured bacterium. Its description in RNAcentral is "partial 16S ribosomal RNA". It matches the Rfam family "Bacterial small subunit ribosomal RNA", at positions 524 to 776 of the family's 1533-position model. The record is from RNAcentral.
UACGAAGGGUGCAAGCGUUACUCGGAAUUACUGGGCGUAAAGGGCGCGUAGGCGGCACGGCAAGUCAGGAGUGAAAGCCCUGGGCUCAACCCGGGAACUGCUUUUGAAACUGCCGAGCUAGAGUGCGGAAGGGGCAACUGGAAUUCCCAGUGUAGCGGUGAAAUGCGUAGAUAUUGGGAAGAACACCUGAGGCGAAGGCGGGUUGCUGGGCCGACACUGACGCUGAUGCGCGAAAGCCAGGGGAGCGAACGGG